Molecule: ribosomal RNA, 497 nt
Filed under: uncultured bacterium
Lineage: Bacteria
Description: partial 16S ribosomal RNA
Rfam family: Bacterial small subunit ribosomal RNA
Source: RNAcentral
GAUGAACGCUGGCGGCGUGCCUAAUACAUGCAAGUCGAGCGAACAGACGAGGAGCUUGCUCCUCUGACGUUAGCGGCGGACGGGUGAGUAACACGUGGAUAACCUACCUAUAAGACUGGGAUAACUUCGGGAAACCGGAGCUAAUACCGGAUAAUAUAUUGAACCGCAUGGUUCAAUAGUGAAAGACGGUUUUGCUGUCACUUAUAGAUGGAUCCGCGCCGCAUUAGCUAGUUGGUAAGGUAACGGCUUACCAAGGCGACGAUGCGUAGCCGACCUGAGAGGGGGAUCGGCCACACUGGAACUGAGACACGGGCCAGACUCCUACGGGAGGCAGCAGUAGGGAAUCUUCCGCAAUGGGCGAAAGCCUGACGGAGCAACGGCGCGUGAGUGAUGAAGGUCUUCGGAUCGUAAAACUCUGUUAUUAGGGAAGAACAAAUGUGUAAGUAACUAUGCACGUCUUGACGGUACCUAAUCAGAAAGCCACGGCUAACUACGUG